UACAGAGGGGGCAAGCGUUGUUCGGAAUUACUGGGCGUAAAGGGCGCGUAGGCGGCCUUCUAAGUCGAACGUGAAAUCCCUGGGCUCAACUCAGGAACUGCGUCCGAUACUGAAAGGCUUGAAUCCGGGAGAGGGAUGCGGAAUUCCAGGUGUAGCGGUGAAAUGCGUAGAUAUCUGGAGGAACACCGGUGGCGAAGGCGGCAUCCUGGACCGGUAUUGACGCUGAGGCGCGAAAGCCAGGGGAGCAAACGGG
This 253-nucleotide ribosomal RNA is filed under the name uncultured bacterium. Its description in RNAcentral is "partial 16S ribosomal RNA". It matches the Rfam family "Bacterial small subunit ribosomal RNA", at positions 524 to 776 of the family's 1533-position model. The record is from RNAcentral.